This 254-nucleotide ribosomal RNA is filed under the name uncultured bacterium. RNAcentral describes it as "partial 16S ribosomal RNA". It matches the Rfam family "Bacterial small subunit ribosomal RNA", at positions 524 to 776 of the family's 1533-position model. The record is from RNAcentral.
UACGUAGGGGGCGAGCGUUGUCCGGAUUUAUUGGGCGUAAAGAGCUCGUAGGCGGUUUGGCAAGUCGGGUGUGAAAACUCCGGGCUCAACUCGGAGACGCCACUCGAUACUGCCAUGACUUGAGUCCGGUAGGGGAGUGCGGAAUUCCUGGUGUAGCGGUGAAAUGCGCAGAUAUCAGGAGGAACACCGGUGGCGAAGGCGGCAUCCUGGACCAACACUGACACUGAGGAGCGAAAGCCAGGGGAGCAAACGGG